UACGGGGGGGGCAAGCGUUGUUCGGAAUUACUGGGCGUAAAGGGCGCGUAGGCGGUCUUGUAAGUCUUGUGUGAAAUCCCUCGGCUUAACUGAGGAACUGCACGGGAUACUGCGAGACUUGAGUUCGGGAGAGGGAAGCGGAAUUCCGGGUGUAGCGGUGAAAUGCGUAGAUAUCCGGAGGAACACCGGUGGCGAAGGCGGCUUCCUGGACCGACACUGACGCUGAGGCGCGAAAGCUAGGGGAGCAAACGGG
This 253-nucleotide ribosomal RNA is filed under the name uncultured bacterium. RNAcentral describes it as "partial 16S ribosomal RNA". It matches the Rfam family "Bacterial small subunit ribosomal RNA", at positions 524 to 776 of the family's 1533-position model. The record is from RNAcentral.